AUUUGCUGAAACGUGAGCGCCUGGUGCUACCAGUCCCACCGCCGGAGCCGAUGAACAAUAAUAAGCGUGUUGUGGCACAUUUACCUUAUACCACAUCGCACUGGUGAGCAAGGUAUGAUCUUCCGUGAACUAGUCGAGGAUUUGGAUCCGGUAAUCGACCCCAAUACGCUUUCUAGUGCGCCCAAGCGAUAAUUCACCUGGCGAUUACUCGCUCUUCUUUCACAUUAAUAAUUAAAUCCAACGCUUUCGCAUUGAAAAGAAAGGCGAACGUUAUCUGAUGGGUGGACACUGUCGAGUGCUUGGAUGCAGUGAUCAAUCGCUAUCGCAAAGAGAAAAUCAUCGAAGGUCACUCACUCAGUAUCCACCUGAAUUCAACCAACAGUUUGUGGUGGAAAAGGCAGCCGAACAAAUCUAUGCAACUUUGUGCAAAUGUUCCGGUCAAAUCGGUUUGAAGAAUAUAAAAGGCAUCAAACAUCACGGACAUUUGUUCAAGAAGUCUGAUAAGACAGCCAAACGGAAUGGAAUCGCUUAUCAGCGAGGGCAGCGAAACAUUUCUGCUUCUAUGACAAUCCGAAAAAGACCAAACCGAAUCCAACGUGUGCGUAUCUAUACCAGUGCCAUGAACUGUUAUGGGAGCAGCCAUAUUGUUUUCAAAUAGUCAAGCGCGAACUCAGUGACGGAUUUAUAGAUUUGCCGCCGCUUUUCAAUUUUUGCCGCCCCUACUACCUCUGAAAUUCGAUAGCUUAGUUUAAGUUUUCAUUUUCAUUUCCUAAAAUUUCCACUUUAUGACUUAAAAACUAAGGUACGGUAUAAAAUCCUUGAUUAUUUACACAUUAAAUAAUUAUGAAGAAAUACCAAAUUUAAGCAAAG
Molecule: non-coding RNA, 870 nt
Organism: Bactrocera oleae (olive fruit fly)
Lineage: Eukaryota; Metazoa; Arthropoda; Insecta; Diptera; Tephritidae
Source: RefSeq, a predicted model, not a curated record